RNAcentral lists this ribosomal RNA (500 nucleotides) under uncultured bacterium. RNAcentral describes it as "partial 16S ribosomal RNA". It matches the Rfam family "Bacterial small subunit ribosomal RNA", at positions 30 to 523 of the family's 1533-position model. The record is from RNAcentral.
AUUGAACGCUGGCGGCAGGCCUAACACAUGCAAGUCGAGCGGAUGACGGGAGCUUGCUCCUUGAUUCAGCGGCGGACGGGUGAGUAAUGCCUAGGAAUCUGCCUGGUAGUGGGGGACAACGUUUCGAAAGGAACGCUAAUACCGCAUACGUCCUACGGGAGAAAGCAGGGGACCUUCGGGCCUUGCGCUAUCAGAUGAGCCUAGGUCGGAUUAGCUAGUUGGUAGGGUAAUGGCUCACCAAGGCGACGAUCCGUAACUGGUCUGAGAGGAUGAUCAGUCACACUGGAACUGAGACACGGUCCAGACUCCUACGGGAGGCAGCAGUGGGGAAUAUUGGACAAUGGGCGAAAGCCUGAUCCAGCCAUGCCGCGUGUGUGAAGAAGGCCUUCGGAUUGUAAAGCACUUUAAGUUGGGAGGAAGGGCAGUAAGUUAAUACCUUGCUGUUUUGACGUUACCGACAGAAUAAGCACCGGCUAACUCUGUGCCAGCCGCCGCGGUAA